GAUAUCCUGAGGCAUUCGACAAGGCUCUUUUAAAUUCAACCUACAAUUUUUAUUCGGGAGACAGCGUUUGAUAACUUAUAUAACAUGCCUAGUAUUACUUGGACGUUAAAACUUUAUCAGUAUGUCACCCACCUAGAUGACUCUAGGGCGUGAAUUUAACGGGUCACCGGUGUUUCGGGGAAAAA
Molecule: non-coding RNA, 185 nt
Filed under: Clostridioides difficile
Lineage: Bacteria; Bacillati; Bacillota; Clostridia; Peptostreptococcales; Peptostreptococcaceae
Also listed under: 1 other name
Description: 6S RNA
Rfam family: 6S / SsrS RNA
About the family: E. coli 6S RNA was the first non coding RNA to be sequenced, but its function was unknown until recently. It consists of 184 nucleotides that fold into an extended hairpin structure with a large single-stranded internal bulge.
Source: RNAcentral